GCUGAUGCGCCGCGCCAAGCCGGCCCGCCUCGCCGCGAGCGCUGAUGCGCCGCCGCCCCGUCGCGCCGUCCUUCGCCUCCCGCCACCGCCCGGACCCAUCUCCACCACGCACCUCAGGCCUCCCCCUCACCUGAGGGUGGGGGGCGUCUUGCCGCGCCGUCGCCGCUCGUCUCGGCCGAGCGAUGCCCGGUCGGGAUGAUGCGGUGGUGGUAGGCGGGACGGGUAUUGGUCGCCGCCGCUGCUGCUGCGGUCGGGGUGGUGACAGUGGGCGUGGUUGCCGCCGCUGUUGCGGUCGGGCGGCCGGCAGUCGCGUUGGCCGGCUGUGGAAGUGGAGGCGGCGUCGCCGUAGGGAGCCUGCUGGAGCUGCUGCCCGUCGUCAUGGAGAAGUACGGGGCGUCACGGCGUGCAGCGAUCGUUCCUCGGAGGAGGAGGUCUGGCGGUGGUGCCGGAGUUGGGGAAGUUGGCGGCGUCGCCGGCGUGGACUCCGACGAGGACCCAUCGUUGCCACAGGGGUAUAUGGACCGGCCAUGGCGAGGGCAGAAUGCCGUCACCAUGACUGGUCCCCCCUGUUGGAUCUCCGAGUUGCCGCGCUGAUGCGCGUUUGUGCUGGAGUUGUGGCUGUGAGCACCUCUCCCUGCAACAGCAUUGCCGCUGCGACGACCUCCUCUCCGGGUGUAGGAGCCCCUGCCACGGCGAGGGUAUUGCAGGGGAGUCCGGAGGAGGGCAUCCACCAUACGGCGGAGAAGACGAGCACGAAGGUGCCUCGGAAGUGAAGAAGCAGCGUCAAAGGAUGAAGAACGUGGUGCCAUCCUUACCAUAAGGUGAUUGGUGCUUUUGACCCGGUAAUAAGCACUAGUGUGUUCCACGGUCGCAGGUUUGGAGUUAUGCGUCGCCACACCAGUUCUGGCUCUUUCUGUUCAUUUGCUGGAUGGAAAGAGCAGUUGUGAUUCUGUCAAGGGCAAUGGUGUAGAACUGUACAUAAUAACAGAGCAUGGCUAUUGAUGUUAUUGAUAUUUGGCAUGAUAUACGAUCAAAUUGCUAACCAAGGUUUGAAGUUUGGGGGUCUAUAUAAUCAAUAUGUAGUAAAAAACCAUGCGUGCUUGUUACGACAAGUUCUGUGCAGUUGUCUUAGAACUAUAGUUGGUCACAUUUCAAAAACCAUAGUUGAAGGUAGCACUUCUGUGUGUGUAGUCUUAGAAAAGUUGAUGUUAAAUUGAUCUGAGAGCUACUUUGAUGAUUCAGAUGUAAACCUGUAUCUAUAAUUGAUCAGACGUGUAUGUGUAAUUGUUAUGUUUACAAAACCUGUGUAAUGCAUAUUUUUUUCUGCA
Panicum virgatum (switchgrass) is the source of this 1328-nucleotide long non-coding RNA. RefSeq lists it as uncharacterized. The record is from RefSeq and is a predicted model, not a curated record. The transcript has 4 exons. NCBI's taxonomy places the organism in Eukaryota, Viridiplantae, Streptophyta, Magnoliopsida, Poales, Poaceae.